CGAACUCUGGUAUUGAUUGGUGCUUGCAUCAUGAUUUACAUUUGAGUGAGUGGCGAACUGGUGAGUAACACGUGGGAAACCUGCCCAGAAGCGGGGGAUAACACCUGGAAACAGAUGCUAAUACCGCAUAACAACUUGGACCGCAUGGUCCGAGUUUGAAAGAUGGCUUCGGCUAUCACUUUUGGAUGGUCCCGCGGCGUAUUAGCUAGAUGGUGGGGUAACGGCUCACCAUGGCAAUGAUACGUAGCCGACCUGAGAGGGUAAUCGGCCACAUUGGGACUGAGACACGGCCCAAACUCCUACGGGAGGCAGCAGUAGGGAAUCUUCCACAAUGGACGAAAGUCUGAUGGAGCAACGCCGCGUGAGUGAAGAAGGGUUUCGGCUCGUAAAACUCUGUUGUUAAAGAAGAACAUAUCUGAGAGUAACUGUUCAGGUAUUGACGGUAUUUAACCAGAAAGCCACGGCUAACUACGUGCCAGCAGCCGCGGUAAUACGUAGGUGGCAAGCGUUGUCCGGAUUUAUUGGGCGUAAAGCGAGCGCAGGCGGUUUUUUAAGUCUGAUGUGAAAGCCUUCGGCUCAACCGAAGAAGUGCAUCGGAAACUGGGAAACUUGAGUGCAGAAGAGGACAGUGGAACUCCAUGUGUAGCGGUGAAAUGCGUAGAUAUAUGGAAGAACACCAGUGGCGAAGGCGGCUGUCUGGUCUGUAACUGACGCUGAGGCUCGAAAGUAUGGGUAGCAAACAGGAUUAGAUACCCUGGUAGUCCAUACCGUAAACGAUGAAUGCUAAGUGUUGGAGGGUUUCCGCCCUUCAGUGCUGCAGCUAACGCAUUAAGCAUUCCGCCUGGGGAGUACGGCCGCAAGGCUGAAACUCAAAGGAAUUGACGGGGGCCCGCACAAGCGGUGGAGCAUGUGGUUUAAUUCGAAGCUACGCGAAGAACCUUACCAGGUCUUGACAUACUAUGCAAAUCUAAGAGAUUAGACGUUCCCUUCGGGGACAUGGAUACAGGUGGUGCAUGGUUGUCGUCAGCUCGUGUCGUGAGAUGUUGGGUUAAGUCCCGCAACGAGCGCAACCCUUAUUAUCAGUUGCCAGCAUUAAGUUGGGCACUCUGGUGAGACUGCCGGUGACAAACCGGAGGAAGGUGGGGAUGACGUCAAAUCAUCAUGCCCCUUAUGACCUGGGCUACACACGUGCUACAAUGGAUGGUACAACGAGUUGCGAACUCGCGAGAGUAAGCUAAUCUCUUAAAGCCAUUCUCAGUUCGGAUUGUAGGCUGCAACUCGCCUACAUGAAGUCGGAAUCGCUAGUAAUCGCGGAUCAGCAUGCCGCGGUGAAUACGUUCCCGGGCCUUGUACACACCGCCCGUCACACCAUGAGAGUUUGUAACACCCAAAGUCGGUGGGGUAACCUUUUAGGA
RNAcentral lists this ribosomal RNA (1415 nucleotides) under Lactiplantibacillus plantarum. RNAcentral describes it as "bacterial SSU rRNA". It matches the Rfam family "Bacterial small subunit ribosomal RNA". The record is from RNAcentral. Lineage: Bacteria; Bacillati; Bacillota; Bacilli; Lactobacillales; Lactobacillaceae.